CGGCCUCAAUUAGUCCUGGUUCCAUGAUUGAUUCCUAGACACAUCUUGUGUAAUAAAAUAAAUUGACAUCAGGUUUGAGUUUCAUAAGCUAAGUAAACAUCACGAACCUUUUCUAGCUGGGCCUAGAAAAUUGUAUCCUGCUUGAUUCAAAAAUUGAGAUCAUAAUUACCCAAAAGAGUGGACUUCUAUACAAACCACCUACUCAAAACCAUUAUCCAAUCACUGAAUUUCUAUCACUGUGAAGUUCAAGUUACAAUAUAUGGUAUUUUGUUGAAAGAAUAGCAUGAAUCUACAUACUAGCCUCUUUUAGUUAUUCUUUUUACUUUUCAUCAUGAUCUUGUUAUUAUUAUACCAAAAAAGUCAUGAUCAUAAUUACCCAAAAGAGUGGACUUCUAUACAAACCACCUACUCAAAACCAUUAUCCAAUCACUGAAUUUCUAUCACUGUGAAGUUCAAGUUACAAUAUAGAGUAUUUUGUUGAAACAAUAACAUGAAUUUACAUUUUUAAGAUCAUUAUCUCUUCCGCUUAAACGGGACGCUAGCUCCAAUAACGCGACCGUCUUCGCCGUUGCCAUGGCCGCCGCGAAGCACCUCUCCCUCAUCCGCCGCGCCUUCCCCGCCCGCCGCCUCCUCUCCACCGCCACGGCCGCCGUCGUUGAUCCGCCUCCACCCAUGGCGNN
RNAcentral lists this long non-coding RNA (680 nucleotides) under Phoenix dactylifera (date palm). RNAcentral describes it as "long non-coding RNA (PDAC_LNC003263)". The record is from RNAcentral. Lineage: Eukaryota; Viridiplantae; Streptophyta; Magnoliopsida; Arecales; Arecaceae.